CAGUAGCCGCGGGAAUACGUAGGGUGCAAGCGUUAAUCGGAAUUACUGGGCGUAAAGCGUGCGCAGGCGGUUUUGUAAGUCUGUCGUGAAAUCCCCGGGCUCAACCUGGGAAUGGCGAUGGAGACUGCAAGGCUAGAAUCUGGCAGAGGGGGGUAGAAUUCCACGUGUAGCAGUGAAAUGCGUAGAUAUGUGGAGGAACACCGAUGGCGAAGGCAGCCCCCUGGGCUAAGAUUGACGCUCAUGCACGAAAGCGUGGGGAGCAAACAGGAUUAGAUACCCCUGUAGUCCCUGUCUCUUAUAC
Molecule: ribosomal RNA, 301 nt
Filed under: uncultured bacterium
Lineage: Bacteria
Description: partial 16S ribosomal RNA
Rfam family: Bacterial small subunit ribosomal RNA
Source: RNAcentral